CCUACGGGAGGCUGCAGUGAGGAAUAUUGGUCAAUGGACGCAAGUCUGAACCAGCCAUGCCGCGUGCAGGAAGACGGCUCUAUGAGUUGUAAACUGCUUUUGUACGAGGGUAAACGCAGAUACGCGUAUCUGUAUGAAAGUAUCGUACGAAUAAGGCUCGGCUAACUCCGUGCCAGCAGCCGCGGUAAUUCGGAGGAUUCAAGCGUUAUCCGGAUGUAUUGGGUUUAAAGGGUGCGUAGGCGGUCGGAUAAGUUAGAGGUGAAAUCCCGAGGCUCAACUUCGGAAUUGCCUCUGAGACUGUUCGGCUAGAGAGUAGUUGCGGUAGGCGGAAUGUAUGGUGUAGCGGUGAAAUGCUUAGAGAUCAUACAGAACACCGAUUGCGAAGGCAGCUUACCAAGCUACUUCUGACGUUGAGGCACGAAAGCGUGGGGAGCAAACAGGAUUAGAUACCCCUGUAGUC
This 460-nucleotide ribosomal RNA is filed under the name uncultured bacterium. RNAcentral's name for it is "partial 16S ribosomal RNA". It matches the Rfam family "Bacterial small subunit ribosomal RNA", at positions 338 to 795 of the family's 1533-position model. The record is from RNAcentral.